RNAcentral lists this ribosomal RNA (707 nucleotides) under Bacillus sp. FRC_Y22. RNAcentral describes it as "bacterial SSU rRNA". It matches the Rfam family "Bacterial small subunit ribosomal RNA", at positions 148 to 825 of the family's 1533-position model. Lineage: Bacteria; Bacillati; Bacillota; Bacilli; Caryophanales; Bacillaceae. The record is from RNAcentral.
UCCGGAACACCGGGGCUAAUACCGGAUAACAUUUUGAACNGCAUNGUUCGAAAUUGAAAGGCGGCUUCGGCUGUCACUUAUGGAUGGACCCGCGUCGCAUUAGCUAGUCUGGUGAGGUAACGGCGUCACCAAGGCAACGAUGCGUAGCCGACCUGAGAGGGUGAUCGUGCCACACUGGGACUGAGACACGGCCCAGACUCCUACGGGAGGCAGCAGUAGGGAAUCUUCCGCAAUGGACGAAAGUCUGACGGAGCGAACGCCGCGUGAGUGAUGAAGGCUUUCGGGUCGUAAAACUCUGUUGUUAGGGAAGAACAAGUGCUAGUUGAAUAAGCUGGCACCUUGACGGUAACCUAACCAGAAAGCCACGGCUAACUACGUGCCAGCAGCCGCGGCUAAUACGUAGGUGGCAAGCGUUAUCAACGGAAUUAUUGGGCGUAAAGCGCGCGCAGGUGGUUUCUUAAGUCUGAUGUGAAAGCCCACGGCUCAACCGUGGAGGGUCAUUGGAAACUGGGAGACUUGAGUGCAGAAGAGGAAAGUGGAAUUCCAUGUGUAGCGGUGAAAUGCGUAGAGAUAUGGAGGAACACCAGUGGCGAAGGCGACUUUCUGGUCUGUAACUGACACUGGAGGCGCGAAAGCAGUGGGGAGCAAACAGGAUUGGAAGAUACCCUGACGUAGUCCACGCCGUAAACGAUGAGUGCUGAAGUGUU